RNAcentral lists this long non-coding RNA (535 nucleotides) under Oryza sativa (Asian cultivated rice). RNAcentral's name for it is "long non-coding RNA (OSAT_LNC000085)". The record is from RNAcentral. Lineage: Eukaryota; Viridiplantae; Streptophyta; Magnoliopsida; Poales; Poaceae.
GUCGUUCAGGUGCACGCGGAGGCGGAGCGGCGUGCGGCGCGGCGCGGUCGAGAGGUGAUGAGUAGUUGACGCGGAGCAGAUAUAUAUGGAUGGAUGGCGUCGUCGUCGGUCGGACGACGGCGAGGUCGCGCGCAUCACGCGCGGGCGUAGCUGCGGGCGAGGUGGGCGGCGCGGAGGUCGGCGGCGUCGGCGCCGCCGGCGAAGUUGGAGGGCCGGUAGUGGCCCGUCACGGGGUCGGGCACCCACGACACCUCCCUCGCCGCCGACGACGACGACCCGUCCUUCGCCUGCGUCAUCCCCGCAGCGCCCUUCCCUUCCACCGCCGCCGCCGCCCGCCUCAUCGCCGACGACGCCGCCGACGCGGCGUAACCCCUCGUCGUCGUCACCCUCGCCGCGAGCGCCCGCGCCGCGGCGGCAGCGGCAGCAGCAGCAGAGGUGGAGAGAGCGAGAGCCAUCGGAUCACUCGAUCGGACGGCUGAUGGCGCUCCGCUCCUCUCCUUCUCUACUCUGCUUCGGUGCGACGCGACUUGGGCUU